Molecule: ribosomal RNA, 254 nt
Filed under: uncultured bacterium
Lineage: Bacteria
Description: partial 16S ribosomal RNA
Rfam family: Bacterial small subunit ribosomal RNA
Source: RNAcentral
UACAGAGGUCCCGAGCGUUGUUCGGAUUCAUUGGGCGUAAAGGGUGCGUAGGUGGCGCUGUAAGUGGGGUGUGAAAUCCCGGGGCUUAACCCCGGGACUGCAUUCCAUACUGCGGUGCUUGAGGACUGGAGAGGAGACUGGAAUUUACGGUGUAGCAGUGAAAUGCGUAGAGAUCGUAAGGAAGACCAGUGGCGAAGGCGGGUCUCGUGGACAGUUCCUGACACUGAGGCACGAAGGCCAGGGGAGCAAACGGG